CGAAGGGUGCAAGCGUUACUCGGAAUUACUGGGCGUAAAGCGUGCGUAGGUGGUUCGUUAAGUCUGUCGCGAAAUCCCCGGGCUCAACCUGGGAAUGGCGAUGGAUACUGGCGAGCUAGAGUGAGGUAGAGGAGAGUGGAAUUCCCGGUGUAGCAGUGAAAUGCGUAGAGAUCGGGAGGAACAUCAGUUGCGAAGGCGGCUCUCUGGACCAUCACUGACACUGAGGCACGAAAGCGUGGGGAGCAAACAGGAUUAGAUACCCUGGUAGUCCACGCCCUAAACGAUGCGAACUGGACGUUGGGCUCAAUUAGGAGCUCAGUGUCGAAGCUAACGCGUUAAGUUCGCCGCCUGGGGAGUACGGUCGCAAGACUG
Molecule: ribosomal RNA, 372 nt
Filed under: uncultured organism
Description: bacterial SSU rRNA
Rfam family: Bacterial small subunit ribosomal RNA
Source: RNAcentral